AGGACACGGCUGGCGGCGUUGCUUAACACAUGCAAGUCUACGAGAACGAGGUAGCAAUAUCUUUAGUAAAAGUGGCGUACGGGUGCGUAACACGUAAGUAAUCUACCUUUGGGUUCGGAAUAACUUCGGGAAAUCGGAGCUAAUACCGGAUAAUGCAGCGGCACCGCAUGGUGAUGUUGUUAAAGUUUGUGUAAUGCCUAAAGAUGAACUUGCGUCUGAUUAGCUAGUUGGUGAGGUAAUGGCUCACCAAGGCUGCGAUCAGUAGCUGGUCUGAGAGGAUGAUCAGCCACACUGGAACUGAGACACGGUCCAGACUCCUACGGGAGGCAGCAGUGAGGAAUAUUGGGCAAUGCCCGAAAGGGUGACCCAGCAACGCCGCGUGGAGGAUGAAGUUCGUAAGAUUGUAAACUCCUGUUAGAGGGGAAGAAUAACUAAGUUUGGAGCUUAGUAUGACUGUACCCUCAGAGAAAGCCCCGGCUAACUACGUG
This 488-nucleotide ribosomal RNA is filed under the name uncultured bacterium. RNAcentral describes it as "bacterial SSU rRNA". It matches the Rfam family "Bacterial small subunit ribosomal RNA", at positions 35 to 507 of the family's 1533-position model. The record is from RNAcentral.